GAAAGGUGAGCUAAUACCCUAUACGCUUCCCUCUUUAUGAAGAGGGAAGGAAAGCUAAGCCGUGGGCUUGGCGCUCAAGGAGGGGCUCAUGUCCUAUCAGCUUGUUGGUGGGGUAACGGCCUACCAAGGCUACGACGGGUAGCUGGUCUGAGAGGAUGAUCAGCCACACUGGCACUGAGAUACGGGCCAGACUCCUACGGGAGGCAGCAGUGAGGAAUAUUGCGCAAUGGGCGAAAGCCUGACGCAGCGACGCCGCGUGGGGGAUGAAGGUUUUCGGAUUGUAAACCCCUUUUGUGAGGAAAGAGAAAGUGGGUAACCACUUAGACGGUACCUCAAGAAAAAGCCACGGCUAACUUCGUGCCAGCAGCCGCGGUAAUACGAAGGUGGCGAGCGUUGUUCGGAUUUACUGGGCGUAAAGAGCACGUAGGCGGUUGGGUAAGCCUCUUGGGAAAGCUCCCGGCUUANCGGGAAAGUUCGAGGGGAACUACUCACCUANAGACNGGAAAAGAACCCG
Molecule: ribosomal RNA, 514 nt
Filed under: uncultured bacterium
Lineage: Bacteria
Description: bacterial SSU rRNA
Rfam family: Bacterial small subunit ribosomal RNA
Source: RNAcentral